UGACACAGGCCUUUUACAAGCCAUUUUUCAA
RNAcentral lists this non-coding RNA (31 nucleotides) under Mus musculus (house mouse). The record is from RNAcentral. Lineage: Eukaryota; Metazoa; Chordata; Mammalia; Rodentia; Muridae.